Molecule: ribosomal RNA, 433 nt
Filed under: uncultured bacterium
Lineage: Bacteria
Description: partial 16S ribosomal RNA
Rfam family: Bacterial small subunit ribosomal RNA
Source: RNAcentral
AACGAACGCUGGCGGCAUGCCUAACACAUGCAAGUCGAACGAAGCCUUCGGGCUUAGUGGCGCACGGGUGCGUAACGCGUGGGAAUUUGCCCCUUGCUUCGGUAUACUAGUUAGAAAUGACUGCUAAUACCGGUUGAAGUCUUCGGACCAAAGAUCUAUGGGUAUGGGAUGAGCCCGCGUAGGAUUAGGUGGUUGGUGGGGUACAGGCCUACCAAGCCGGCGAUCCUUAGCUGGUCUGGUAGGAUGAUCAACCGCACUGGACCUGAGACACGGACCAGAAUGCGACGGAGGGGAGCGGUAGAGAAUAUUAGGCGAUGAACGCUGGUCUAAUACAGCAGUGCGGCGGAAGAGAUGAAGGGGUUAGGGUUGUGAAGCUGUUUGACAAGAAGUGUGAGUGACAGUACCGGGAGAAGAAGCUCCGGCUAACUCCGUG